UGCGGAGGGUGCAAGCGUUGCUCGGAAUUAUUGGGCGUAAAGGGUAGGUAGGUGGUCUCAUUUGUCUGGGGUGAAAGCCUUGAGCUUAACUCAAGAAGUGCCCUAGAAACGGUGAGACUGGAGUCCUGGGGAGGGUCGUGGAAUUCCCGGUGUAGCGGUGAAAUGCGUAGAGAUCGGGAGGAACACCAGAGGCGAAGGCGGCGACCUGGACAGGUACUGACACUCAACUACGAAAGCGUGGGGAGCAAACAGG
Molecule: ribosomal RNA, 253 nt
Filed under: uncultured bacterium
Lineage: Bacteria
Description: partial 16S ribosomal RNA
Rfam family: Bacterial small subunit ribosomal RNA
Source: RNAcentral